CGAGAUGGCCGCCGCUCUUAUUUGUAAGUACUGAUCUAUCUACAUAGCCAUAGAAGUGGCUCAGUUCUUCGGAUGGCUAGGUGAGGGGAGCUUCUCCAAUGGAGGGUGUCCUGGAUAGUGACCAUAAGGUGGUUUUUUUGGAGGUUCAUAAACUGGUGGCUUGGGUUUUGGUUUCUCUUUCUUUGGAGGUGGAUUGGUGGCUUUGGUGGUUUAAAUUCAUGCAUCGGUGGCUUCUUUGGAGGUUCAUGUACGGGUGAUUUGGGUUUUGACUUCUCUUUCUUUGGAGGUUCAUGGACUGGUGGUUUAGGUUUAUAUGCUGGAGGCUUCUUUAGAGGUUCAUGGAUUGGUGGCUUCUUUGGAGGUUCAUAUAUCGGUGGCUUGUGUUCUGGUUUCUCUUUCUUUGGAGGUUCGUGAACUGGUAGCUUUGGUGGUUUAGGUUCAUGAAUCGGUGGCUUCUUUGGAAAUUCAUGGAGUGGUGGUUUAUGUUUAUACAUUGGAGGCUUCUUUAGAGGUUCAUGGAUUGAUGGCGUAGGUUUAUACAUUGGAGGCUUAUUUGGAAGUUCAUCUGAUGGUGGCUUGUGUUCUAGUUUCUUUUUUUUUGGAAGUUUAUGGACUGGUGGCUUAGGGUCAUAUGUUGGAGGCUUCUUUGGAAGUUCAUGCACAGGAGGCUUGGGUGACUUAGGUUCUGGCUUCUUUGGUUGUUUGCCAUAGUUGGGUGGCUCGUAGGUACCUAAGGAGGGAGUGGUGACAACCACAACUCCAAGGAACAAUAC
Molecule: long non-coding RNA, 773 nt
Filed under: Gossypium barbadense (sea-island cotton)
Lineage: Eukaryota; Viridiplantae; Streptophyta; Magnoliopsida; Malvales; Malvaceae
Description: long non-coding RNA (GBAR_LNC020075)
Source: RNAcentral